AGCAGCAGGCAAAGCCCCAGCCCCUCCCGGCCCUCGCUGUGUUCUAGGAGGCAGCUGGGAGGUUUAGGGGGAAGGCAGCUGCGGCACCUGUCGGGAGCCCAUCCUCAGGUGCUUCCUCUGGCUUGUCCUCGGAGUUCAUGCACACGCACCCCUGUGCUCCAGAAUCGCCAGACGGCAGGCCCGCUGCUUCCUCCUCCGGGGCUCCAGCUAGAACAGCUGCAGCGGGGGCUUUGCACUGGGGCCGGGAACCGCUGUGCUGCCCCUGUGUCCCCAGCAGGGAGGCAGCUGGCGGGACUCCAGCUGGGCUGCUGGCAUCCCUGGGACAGCUCAGGGCAGGCCUCUGACAAGUGAGUGUGAAACAGCCUUGGCCACCUGGCUGGCCUCGCUGGGAGCAGUCCUCCUGGCCGGUGGAGGGGACAGCUGCUGACACAGGAAGGAGAGGAGGUCCCAGGCGAGGCUUAGGAAAUCGCUGGAGCCAGCUCUAAGCAGAGAACUCACUGGGGAGGUUUGCAGAAAGACACCAUUGUUCUGCCUGUGUGAACGGCCAGGUGUGUCCAGUGGCCAGUCAUCGAGUGUCUAAAGCCAAGAGCCGUCCGAGGCUGCUGCUGCCCUUCCUCGGGCUCCGGGGAAAGGAGUUUCCUCUCUGCUCCCACUUGGCCCCACGAGUCAGGUGGGCUCGACGCCACGCGCACGGGGACUUUUCUGCCCCGUCCUUGAUGGACCAGCCGCGCUCCUGGCAACCUCCCCAUUUAACUUUCAGGGUGAUUUCCUCCUGACCAGACAUCGGUGAGGUCCCUUUAAGAAGGAAAAGUAUAAGCACCUACUAUGUGCCAGGCACUGUGUUAGGCACUUUUAAAUAUAUCCUCUUUCAGAUGAGACUAAGGAAUGGUGUGCCUUCGUAAAGGCCCCCAAGAAAUGGAUAAACAAAAAGUUGGAGAUGAGAAGGUCUUUUUUCAAAAAAACCAAGGCAAGAUUGUCUUCAGUCUGAGGUUUAUUCUUGAAGACCCAUCCCCUACAAUAUGCUUCCACCUCUAAAUCUCUUCUCUCUACCUUGUGAUGUGCUCCUUUGCACUCCUCAGAUGGUUGGAGGGGUCACCUGAGUCCUUAUAGAAUUUGUGGACCAAUAGGGUAUGUAUAACUUGCUUUUAAAAAAUGUAAGUAAAGGGGUCUUGCUACUUUCUGCUUGUUGAGUCUUUUUGGCAUUCAUCUUCACAGCCAGCAUCUCACUAUUUAUUAACAGGUUGGGGUAUGUGUGUGUGUGUGUGCACAUGUGUAUGUGAGUGUGUGUGUGCGUGUGUGUGUGUGUGUGUGUGUGUGUGUGCAUUUCCAGGUGUGCCCGUGUCCUCCUGCAGCUUUUCAAAAGGAAACCCAGUCACCCCACCACUCAUUUGACAUCUCCUCAUGCUUCUAGUGCUUUGGCCGGACAUCAACAAAGGGUUUUAAAUUUUCCAGUGCUGACAUGUUCAGGAGGGGCGGGGUCAAAUUUUGAGGAGGGUGUGGGGAGGGGAGGGGGAGAAGAAAAGGACGUUUAUUUUAUUAUUUAUUUUAAAUGUUUACAUCUUUGUGCUGUACCAAGCCUGAAUAGAAACAGAUAGCAUUAAAGUACUCCGUUCCUCUCUCCCUCUCUUUCUUCCUUAUUUUUUAAAUUAGGCUAAUGAUGCUUUUUUUGUUCCUGAAAUGAUUUGUGACUUUCGCUGUAUAAACUGUAUAAAAAGGUUCUGUUUUUUUAAAGAUGGAUUGUCACUCCUCUGGGGACAGUGGUCCCCAAGAAGUCUACAUCGUGAGAGAACAUAACAAAAGGUCCUGCCCUGUCCCCUAAAGACUGUUUCCUCUGUAUGAUUAAAGGUUUAUUCCAGCUA
This is a long non-coding RNA of Myotis brandtii (Brandt's bat), 1859 nucleotides long. RefSeq lists it as uncharacterized. The transcript is spliced from 2 exons. NCBI's taxonomy places the organism in Eukaryota, Metazoa, Chordata, Mammalia, Chiroptera, Vespertilionidae. The record is from RefSeq and is a predicted model, not a curated record.